CCUACGGGAGGCUGCAGUGGGGAAUAUUGGACAAUGGGCGAAAGCCUGAUCCAGCCAUGCCGCGUGUGUGAAGAAGGCCUUCGGGUUGUAAAGCACUUUCAGUGGGGAAGAAAGCCUUGGGGCUAAUACCCUCGAGGAAGGACAUCACCCACAGAAGAAGCACCGGCUAACUCCGUGCCAGCAGCCGCGGUAAUACGGAGGGUGCGAGCGUUAAUCGGAAUUACUGGGCGUAAAGCGCGCGUAGGCGGUCUGAUAAGCCGGUUGUGAAAGCCCCGGGCUCAACCUGGGAACGGCAUCCGGAACUGUCAGGCUAGAGUGCAGGAGAGGAAGGGAGAAUUCCCGGUGUAGCGGUGAAAUGCGUAGAGAUCGGGAGGAAUACCAGUGGCGAAGGCGGCCUUCUGGACUGACACUGACGCUGAGGUGCGAAAGCGUGGGUAGCAAACAGGAUUAGAUACCCGAGUAGUC
RNAcentral lists this ribosomal RNA (465 nucleotides) under Vreelandella stevensii. RNAcentral describes it as "partial 16S ribosomal RNA". It matches the Rfam family "Bacterial small subunit ribosomal RNA", at positions 338 to 795 of the family's 1533-position model. The record is from RNAcentral. Lineage: Bacteria; Pseudomonadati; Pseudomonadota; Gammaproteobacteria; Oceanospirillales; Halomonadaceae.